This 72-nucleotide transfer RNA is filed under the name Cordylochernes scorpioides. RNAcentral's name for it is "tRNA-Glu". It matches the Rfam family "tRNA". From Rfam's summary of the family: Transfer RNA (tRNA) molecules are approximately 80 nucleotides in length. The record is from RNAcentral. Lineage: Eukaryota; Metazoa; Arthropoda; Arachnida; Pseudoscorpiones; Chernetidae.
UCCCUCGUGGUCUACUGGCUAGGAUACCUGGCUUUCAUCCAGGAGGCCCCGGUUCGAUUCCCGGCGUGGUAA